Odocoileus virginianus texanus is the source of this 668-nucleotide non-coding RNA. The record is from RefSeq and is a predicted model, not a curated record. NCBI's taxonomy places the organism in Eukaryota, Metazoa, Chordata, Mammalia, Artiodactyla, Cervidae.
GAUGCAGUCUGGCUGCUCCCCGGGCCUGGAGGGCUGCCCGUCUCCUCCGAUUUGACAUUGAUUGAAUUAGUCCAACCUCAGCCUUCUCCAGGCCAUGCAAACUCAAAGCCUCAGAAAUGUAGAUAGGGAGAGGGUGAGGGGCUCACUCGACUGCUUCUAACCGUGGCAGGUGACAGCACUCCAUUGGUUAAACACAACUCAGACAGGGAAAUUGGAAGCUCAGCAACAGAGGCUGGACGUAUUUGGAAGGUCUGGAAGAGAGGAGAUUUGGCCACAGGCUUGUUGGGGCCGUGGGUGUCAGAUUCCUAGGGCUGCCAGAAUAAAGGACCACAAGCUGGGUGACCAGGUGACUCAACACGAAGUGUGUGGUCUCCCAGCUCAGGAGGCUGGAGGCCUGAAGUCAAGGUGUUGGCCGAGCGUCUGUCUCUGUGCCCGAAUUUCCCCCUUUCAUUAAGAUGCUGCGUAUGUUGGACUAGGGCCCAGCCUCAUCACCUCGUCUUAAGUAAUUAUAUCUGCACUGACCCUGUUUCUAAAUAUGGUCACAUUCUGAGACAUGUCUGCUGAAAAAAAGCACAACCUGCAGGGUGAGAGUUUUGUGUUAUUCUGUGAGCAUUCUGAGGACGUCAAGCCUGGGAGAUGGGACCCUGAGAUGACUCCGAGGGACUAUU